This 465-nucleotide ribosomal RNA is filed under the name Vreelandella stevensii. RNAcentral describes it as "partial 16S ribosomal RNA". It matches the Rfam family "Bacterial small subunit ribosomal RNA", at positions 338 to 795 of the family's 1533-position model. The record is from RNAcentral. Lineage: Bacteria; Pseudomonadati; Pseudomonadota; Gammaproteobacteria; Oceanospirillales; Halomonadaceae.
CCUACGGGGCGCUGCAGUGGGGAAUAUUGGACAAUGGGCGAAAGCCUGAUCCAGCCAUGCCGCGUGUGUGAAGAAGGCCUUCGGGUUGUAAAGCACUUUCAGUGGGGAAGAAAGCCUUGGGGCUAAUACCCUCGAGGAAGGACAUCACCCACAGAAGAAGCACCGGCUAACUCCGUGCCAGCAGCCGCGGUAAUACGGAGGGUGCGAGCGUUAAUCGGAAUUACUGGGCGUAAAGCGCGCGUAGGCGGUCUGAUAAGCCGGUUGUGAAAGCCCCGGGCUCAACCUGGGAACGGCAUCCGGAACUGUCAGGCUAGAGUGCAGGAGAGGAAGGUAGAAUUCCCGGUGUAGCAGUGAAAUGCGUAGAGAUCGGGAGGAAUACCAGUGGCGAAGGCGGCCUUCUGGACUGACACUGACGCUGAGGUGCGAAAGCGUGGGUAGCAAACAGGAUUAGAUACCCGGGUAGUC